Molecule: long non-coding RNA, 514 nt
Organism: Mercenaria mercenaria
Lineage: Eukaryota; Metazoa; Mollusca; Bivalvia; Venerida; Veneridae
Exons: 3
Source: RefSeq, a predicted model, not a curated record
AGCAGUUGGUAGUUUCCAGCCACAGAUUCGAAUUGGCCAGGGUCAAAAUCUGUCAUUAGAGAUAAAACCUUGAAGUGAAGGCAGUUUUGAUGUUUGAAAUAUUUGUUGAUGUGAGUUUGUGAUUAACAAGUUUAAGAAUGGUAUGUUGCAGAAAUUCUGGCAGAUGCGAAUGUAAGCUUGAUGGCAUCAUUUUCAUAUAACUGCUUGAAAUGCAUAUAUGCCACUAUCAGCAUUGAGCGUCUCGUGAACUGUCAAAUGUCUUAUAGGCCUCACACAGUUGAAAAUAGUGAAAAAAGUAAUCGGUUGACAGGUCUGCAUCUCGUAAGAUAUCGGAAGCCGUCUGACUUGGCCACAUCGCUCGGAAGUCUGAAGUACUAGAAAAAACCGCAUCUGCUACCUUAAGACAUUUGUCAAUUUUUGUCUGCAUCUCGUAAGAUAUCGGAAGCCGUCUGACUUGGCCACAUCGCUCGGAAGUCUGAAGUACUAGAAAAAACCGCCAUCUGCUACCUAUAUU